Molecule: small nuclear RNA, 333 nt
Filed under: Microtus ochrogaster (prairie vole)
Lineage: Eukaryota; Metazoa; Chordata; Mammalia; Rodentia; Cricetidae
Description: 7SK RNA (ENSMOCG00000008053.1)
Rfam family: 7SK RNA
About the family: 7SK was discovered as an abundant small nuclear RNA in the mid-70s but a possible function has only recently been suggested. Two independent studies have found that 7SK RNA binds the CDK9/cyclin T complex (known as elongation factor P-TEFb).
Source: RNAcentral
AGAUGUAAGAGCAAUCUGGCUGUCGAAGCUAUCAUCCCGUUGAUCACUGAGCUGAGUGAUCUGAGUCCCCUGUGGCUCAUGUGGCUCAGAUUGACUGAGCUGAGUGGCUAGGGGGGUGUCCCAUUCCUCCCUUAGCACUCUAUGUGAGUCUUUCCCAAGUCUAUGUGCUUUUGUGAAAAGAGCAGCCUUUCUCAAAACAGGACUUCCGUCGAGAGUUUGUGAGUAGCUGGACUCCCUUGCUAGAAUCUCCAAACAGGCUCUCAAGUCACCAUAGUCUCCUCUUACAGAAAUGUACAGUUACAACAUCUUUAACACCAAUAAGCGUGACAGCAU